AUGGUAGAACACAAAUGGUUCAAUAUCUUGAUGAGACAUAUGAAUCCAGCAUAUAAGUUCAUUGGUAGAAAGACCAUAAGAAAAGAGUGCAUCAAGGUUUAUGAAUCUGAGAAGGAACUUCUUAAGAAGAGUUUCAGGGAUGUCGAACAUAUUUGUUUAACAAGUGACUUGUGGACAUCAAAUCAAAAUCUCUCCUACAUGGCUUUGGUCGCUCACUACAUAGAUGUCGAUUGGGUUAUGCAAUGUCGUGUCCUGAACUUCAUUGAGUUAGAUCCACCACAUUCAGGAAGCAUCAUAGCUCAAGCAAUAUUUGAAUGUUUAUGUGAAUGGAAAAUAGAGGACAAGGUCAUCUCAAUCACAGUUGACAAUGCUAGAAAUAAUGAUGGAGCUGUGAGGAAUUUGAUUAACAAGUUUGUUGCAAGGAAAGUAACUGGCUUCAUUUCCACACAUUUUCAUGUUUGUUGUUGUUCUCACAUAGUCAACUUGGUAGUGAAUGAUGGUUUGGCACCAUUGCAAGCUUUUAUUAGCUUGCUAAGGGAAACUGUGAAGUAUUUGAAGAAGUCUCCUAGUCGCAUGUAUAAAUUCCUUGAAGUUUGUAAAACACUGAAUAUAGAACCUGGGGCUAGAUUAUGUCUAGAUGUGUCAACAAGGUGGAAUUCAACAUACAAGAUGUUUGAUUCUUGUACUCCAUAUAGGCCUGUUUUUCAUGAAUAUGCAGAUUCUGAUAUGAAUUACACGUGGGAGCCUUCUCAUGCAGAUUGGAAUAUGUAUUCCAAGGUGCAACCAAUCUUGACGCAAUUUGCUGAGAUAACUAAGGUAUUAUCAGGAUCUGUAUACCCUACUGCAAGUAUCUUUUACCCUUAUAUAGUGACUGUCAAAAUGGAGAUAGCGGCUGCAUGUCAUUCUAAAGAUAGCAUCUAUCAGCUAUGGCAUACGCAAUGA
Molecule: ribosomal RNA, 942 nt
Filed under: Triticum aestivum (bread wheat)
Lineage: Eukaryota; Viridiplantae; Streptophyta; Magnoliopsida; Poales; Poaceae
Description: partial small subunit ribosomal RNA
Source: RNAcentral